Molecule: microRNA precursor, 82 nt
Filed under: Dasypus novemcinctus (nine-banded armadillo)
Lineage: Eukaryota; Metazoa; Chordata; Mammalia; Cingulata; Dasypodidae
Description: miRNA (ENSDNOG00000030421.1)
Source: RNAcentral
CCUGGGGACCCUGAUAAUAUGCAAAUUCCAUUUCAGCAGGUCUGGGAAUCUGCAUUUCUAACAAGGUCCCAAGAGUUGUCAA